CCCUUAGAUGUUCUGGGCCGCACGCGCGCUACACUGACGAAUGCAACGAGCUUAUAACCUUGGCCGAAAGGUCUGGGUAAUCUCCAAAUUUCGUCGUGAUGGGGAUAGAUUAUUGCAAUUAUUAAUCUUCAGCGAGGAAUGCCUAGUAAGCGCAAGUCAUCAGCUUGCGUUGAUUACGUCCCUGCCCUUUGUACACACCGCCCGUCGCUCCUACCGAUUGAAUGGUCCGGUGAAGCGUUCGGACCGUGGCCUUUGGACGGUUCGCCGUCUGUUGGCUGCGGGAAGUUCGUUAAACCUUAUCAUUUAGAGGAAGGAGAAGUCGUANCA
RNAcentral lists this ribosomal RNA (327 nucleotides) under uncultured eukaryote. RNAcentral describes it as "partial 18S ribosomal RNA". It matches the Rfam family "Eukaryotic small subunit ribosomal RNA", at positions 1470 to 1796 of the family's 1831-position model. The record is from RNAcentral.